Molecule: ribosomal RNA, 2235 nt
Filed under: Pantoea ananatis
Lineage: Bacteria; Pseudomonadati; Pseudomonadota; Gammaproteobacteria; Enterobacterales; Erwiniaceae
Description: bacterial LSU rRNA
Rfam family: Bacterial large subunit ribosomal RNA
Source: RNAcentral
UGACUGCGUACCUUUUGUAUAAUGGGUCAGCGACUUAUAUUCUGUAGCAAGGUUAACCGUAUAGGGGAGCCGCAGGGAAACCGAGUCUUAACUGGGCGUUAAGUUGCAGGGUAUAGACCCGAAACCCGGUGAUCUAGCCAUGGGCAGGUUGAAGGUUGGGUAACACUAACUGGAGGACCGAACCGACUAAUGUUGAAAAAUUAGCGGAUGACCUGUGGCUGGGGGUGAAAGGCCAAUCAAACCGGGAGAUAGCUGGUUCUCCCCGAAAGCUAUUUAGGUAGCGCCUCGUGAACUCAUCUCCGGGGGUAGAGCACUGUUUCGGCUAGGGGGCCAUCCCGGCUUACCAACCCGAUGCAAACUGCGAAUACCGGAGAAUGUUAUCACGGGAGACACACGGCGGGUGCUAACGUCCGUCGUGAAGAGGGAAACAACCCAGACCGCCAGCUAAGGUCCCAAAGUCAUGGUUAAGUGGGAAACGAUGUGGGAAGGCCCAGACAGCCAGGAUGUUGGCUUAGAAGCAGCCAUCAUUUAAAGAAAGCGUAAUAGCUCACUGGUCGAGUCGGCCUGCGCGGAAGAUGUAACGGGGCUAAACCAUGCACCGAAGCUGCGGCAGCGACGCUUAUGCGUUGUUGGGUAGGGGAGCGUUCUGUAAGCCGUCGAAGGUGGCCUGUGAGGGCUGCUGGAGGUAUCAGAAGUGCGAAUGCUGACAUAAGUAACGAUAAACAAGGUGAAAAACCUUGUCGCCGGAAGACCAAGGGUUCCUGUUCAACGUUAAUCGGAGCAGGGUGAGUCGACCCCUAAGGCGAGGCCGAAAGGCGUAGUCGAUGGGAAACAGGUUAAUAUUCCUGUACUUGGUGUUACUGCGAAGGGGGGACGGAGAAGGCUAUAUCAGCCGGGCGACGGUUGUCCCGGUUUAAGCGUGUAGGUGUGUGUUCCAGGCAAAUCCGGUUCACUUUACACUGAGGCGUGACGACGAGGCACUACGGUGCUGAAGUGAUAAAUGCCCUGCUUCCAGGAAAAGCCUCUAAGCAUCAGGUAACACAAAAUCGUACCCCAAACCGACACAGGUGGUCAGGUAGAGAAUACCAAGGCGCUUGAGAGAACUCGGGUGAAGGAACUAGGCAAAAUGGUGCCGUAACUUCGGGAGAAGGCACGCUGUCGGUAGGUGAAACCCCUUGCGGGUGGAGCUGAAGGCAGUCGAAGAUACCAGCUGGCUGCAACUGUUUAUUAAAAACACAGCACUGUGCAAACACGAAAGUGGACGUAUACGGUGUGACGCCUGCCCGGUGCCGGAAGGUUAAUGGAUGGGGUUAUCCGCAAGGAGAAGCUCUUGAUCGAAGCCCCGGUAAACGGCGGCCGUAACUAUAACGGUCCUAAGGUAGCGAAAUUCCUUGUCGGGUAAGUUCCGACCUGCACGAAUGGCGUAAUGAUGGCCAGGCUGUCUCCACCCGAGACUCAGUGAAAUUGAAAUCGCUGUGAAGAUGCAGUGUACCCGCGGCAAGACGGAAAGACCCCGUGAACCUUUACUACAGCUUGACACUGAACACUGAGCCUUGAUGUGUAGGAUAGGUGGGAGGCUUUGAAGCGCGGACGCCAGUCUGCGUGGAGCCAACCUUGAAAUACCACCCUUUAAUGUUUGGUGUUCUAACGUAGGCCCGUAAUCCGGGCUGCGGACAGUGUCUGGUGGGUAGUUUGACUGGGGCGGUCUCCUCCCAAAGCGUAACGGAGGAGCACGAAGGUUGGCUAAUCCUGGUCGGACAUCAGGAGGUUAGUGCAAUGGCAUAAGCCAGCUUGACUGCGAGAGUGACGGCUCGAGCAGGUGCGAAAGCAGGUCAUAGUGAUCCGGUGGUUCUGAAUGGAAGGGCCAUCGCUCAACGGAUAAAAGGUACUCCGGGGAUAACAGGCUGAUACCGCCCAAGAGUUCAUAUCGACGGCGGUGUUUGGCACCUCGAUGUCGGCUCAUCACAUCCUGGGGCUGAAGUAGGUCCCAAGGGUACGGCUGUUCGCCGUUUAAAGUGGUACGCGAGCUGGGUUUAGAACGUCGUGAGACAGUUCGGUCCCUAUCUGCCGUGGGCGCUGGAGAAUUGAGGGGGGUGGCUCCUAGUACGAGAGGACCGGAGUGAACGCACCGCUGGUGUCCGGGUUGUCACGCCAGUGGCACUGCCCGGUAGCUAAGUGCGGAAAAGAUAAGUGCUGAAAGCAUCUAAGCACGAAACUUGCCCCGAGAUGAGUUCU